CUGUGGUCCUCGUGCCCUGCUGCCCUGCUUCUAGGCCAUGGUGUGGUUUCCCAGCCUGGGUACAGGACUUGGCAGCCUCAUUUCUCAAUGUCCUCUUCUGCCUCAGGCCCUGGGGAUCUAAAACCAAAGCGAGGCUCCCCACACAGAGGCAGCCUUGACCGCACAGAUGCCUCCACCGAUCUGGCCAUGAGGUCCUGGCCCUCGGAGCUGGGCUCCCGGACCUGCUCAACUUCAGCCACCACUACAGCCCCUUCCAACUCCACCCCCAUCGCCCGGCACCCAGGCCGCACCAAAGGCUAUAACUCAGAUGACAACCUCUGUGAGCCAUCCCUGGAGUUUGAGGUCCCCAACCACAGGCAGUACGGGGGCUGAGCGUGUAGCUUCUACUUACAUACCUCCAGUGGUGGGGAAUUCGCUACCUCCCAAGCAUCACAGUUCUGGAAGCACCGACCUCUCCUCUUCAUGCCUUCAAGCACCCUUCCAGGCUGGCCAGGAAGUUCCGGUGGCCCAGUGUCGCGGCCAAGUAGCUUAGAGAGCAGUAGAAACACAUCCAGCAACAGCUCACCUCUUAACCUAAAAGGCUCCUCCGAGCAGCUCCAUGGCCGGUCUGAGAGCUUCAGCAGCGAAGACCUGAUCCCCAGCAGGGACCUGGCCACUUUGCCCCGGGAAGCCAGCACACCGGGACGCAACGCCCUCGGCCGCCACGAGUACCCCUUGCCUCGGAACGGGCCUCUCCCACAGGAGGGUGCCCAGAAGAGGGGCACAGCCCCUCCCUACGUCGGAGUGCGGCCCUGCUCGGCCUCCCCCAGCAGUGAGAUGGUCACCUUGGAGGAGUUUCUGGAGGAGAGCAACCGCAGCUCCCCCACCCAUGACACUCCCAGUUGCCGGGAUGACCUGCUGAGUGACUACUUCCGAAAGGCCAGCGAUCCCCCAGCCAUCGGAGGCCAACCAGGACCACCUGCCAAGAAAGAAGGGGCCAAGAUGCCCACCAACUUUGUGGCCCCCACCGUCAAAAUGGCCGCCCCCACCUCGGAGGGGAAGCCGCUGAAGCCCGG
This 1055-nucleotide small RNA is filed under the name Pan troglodytes (chimpanzee). RNAcentral describes it as "retained intron". The record is from RNAcentral. Lineage: Eukaryota; Metazoa; Chordata; Mammalia; Primates; Hominidae.